This 253-nucleotide ribosomal RNA is filed under the name uncultured prokaryote. RNAcentral's name for it is "partial 16S ribosomal RNA". It matches the Rfam family "Bacterial small subunit ribosomal RNA", at positions 525 to 777 of the family's 1533-position model. The record is from RNAcentral.
ACGUAGGUGUCAAGCGUUGUCCGGAUUUAUUGGGCGUAAAGCGCCCGCAGGCGGCUUGCCAAGUCUGACGUGAAAUCUCCCGGCUCAACUGGGAGGGUGCAUCGGAAACUGGCAGGUUUGAGGCAGGGAGAGGGAUGUGGAAUUCCAGGUGUAGUGGUGAAAUGCGUAGAUAUCAAGAGGAACACCAGUGGCGAAGGCGAGUCCCUGGACAACACCUGACACUGAGGCACGAAAGCUAGGGGAGCAAACAGGA